RNAcentral lists this ribosomal RNA (382 nucleotides) under uncultured eukaryote. RNAcentral's name for it is "partial 18S ribosomal RNA". It matches the Rfam family "Eukaryotic small subunit ribosomal RNA", at positions 592 to 976 of the family's 1831-position model. The record is from RNAcentral.
UGUAAGCGUAUACCAAAGUUGUUGCAGUUAAAACGCUCGUAGUCGGAAUUUGGCAGUUCCGGAUGUGUGCACGUCGUGUGCGCACUUCGCGGGGAUUGCUUUUGUGGUCUUGCGUAGGAUGAGGCACUUUUAUUAGUGAACGUCCUCACGCAACCACUUUUUACUGUGAGAAAAUCAGAGUGCUCAAAGCAGGCAUUUGCCGUGAAUGUAUUAGCAUGGAAUAAUAGAGUAGGACUUGGUUCUAUUUUGUUGGUUUGUUGGGACUGAGUAAUGAUUAAGAGGGACAGUUGGGGGCAUUUGUAUUUCGGUGCUAGAGGUGAAAUUCUUAGAUUACCGAAAGACAAACUGCUGCGAAAGCGUCUGCCAAGGAUGUUUUCAUUGA